This is a long non-coding RNA of Vidua chalybeata, 854 nucleotides long. RefSeq lists it as uncharacterized. Lineage: Eukaryota; Metazoa; Chordata; Aves; Passeriformes; Viduidae. The transcript has 4 exons. The record is from RefSeq and is a predicted model, not a curated record.
UUGGGAUGCUCUCGGGAAUGUACCAACGUCGUUCCAGCAGUGCCCGCAGCGGGGGCAGGGACGUGCUCGCAGUGUGGGGACUUUGGUUAAGGAGUUCAGUUAAAUUUCGUGCACCUCGCAGAAAAUACGGCCAGGCUUCUGCUGCUUUAUUUGUAAUAAAGGCCAAACACCCUUGAAAACUAAAGCCUUUAAGUAUCCCUAUCCUUCUCUGUCUCAGAGGUGUGGAAGAAGAUUGGAUCUGGGAAAUAUUUUGGAAGGGAUUCUAAUCUCUGAGUGGGGGAAUAAAAAUACUCUGUGUGCUGUGUGUCAUGAGAUAAGGAACAUUCUCUGUUUUCCUGUCCUAGGUCAAUAGAGUCACCGUUGCUAAUAAUUGAAGCUGCAAAGCUCCCAUUCCUUUAAAGUCUAUGGCAGUAUUGCCUGAGUCAAGACUACAAGAUUCUUCUUGCCUUGUACUGCUUCUUAAAAGUGUACAUCACUUACUACAUAAAUGAAAUACUACUCAAAGUGUAGAGUUCCUGCAGUCCUUCUGCUGGAGUCUGCCUAGGAAUUCUCUGUUUUGGCUUGACUAUGUGAGAAGAGAACUUCUGCACCUCAGGACAGUGUCAGCUGCAUAGAAUCAAAAGGUACAGAUCCAGAGGUAUUCCAAGGCUGGGACUUCAGUCAUCUUUUCUGCUGCUUCCAGAGAGAGAGGAGACAGAGGAAAGGGCUGCAAAUUUGGAGAGCAAUCACUAAACUACACAGAUGCUCAGCGAAGGCUUUGGAAACUAACACCUCAUGUAGAGUACUUGCCUAGGUCUUCCAGAGUGCCCCCUGGAACAUCUCGCUGUUUUCCUGUCUGUACAGGGAAUGCAUUG